GAUGAACGCUGGCGGCGUGCCUAAUACAUGCAAGUCGAGCGAACAGACGAGGAGCUUGCUCCUCUGACGUUAGCGGCGGAAGGGUGAGUAACACGUGGAUAACCUACCUAUAAGACUGGGAUAAAUUCGGGAAACCGGAGCUAAUACCGGAUAAUAUAUUGAACCGCAUGGUUCAAUAGUGAAAGACGGUUUUGCUGUCACUUAUAGAUGGAUCCGCGCCGCAUUAGCUAGUUGGUAAGGUAACGGCUUACCAAGGCAACGAUGCGUAGCCGACCUGAGAGGGUGAUCGGCCACACUGGAACUAAGACACGGUCCAGACUCCUACGGGAGGCAGCAGUAGGGAAUCUUCCGCAAUGGGCGGAAGCCUGACGGAGCCACGCCGCAUGAGUGAUGAAAGUCUUCGGAUCGUAAAACUCUGUUAUUAGGGAAGAACAAAUGUGUAAGUAACUAUGCACGUCUUGACGGUACCUAAUCAGAAAGCCACGGCUAACUACGUG
RNAcentral lists this ribosomal RNA (497 nucleotides) under uncultured bacterium. RNAcentral's name for it is "partial 16S ribosomal RNA". It matches the Rfam family "Bacterial small subunit ribosomal RNA", at positions 28 to 507 of the family's 1533-position model. The record is from RNAcentral.